UCGUUUGACGGUUUGAUCAUCGUUCCAACAUUCUGUGGACCGGCGUCGACUGGAGCGCAAGGUUUCUGAUGGCCUGAUCUUGUUGCGUUCCAUGAAAUGAAAACUGAGGUGGCUGUGAAGGAACCUCAAGAUGGAUGGAUUCAGAAGAAAAAUGAAAAAUGAGCUUGUGGAAGUCCCUGUCGCCAACUGAUGGUCGGUGUUAUUGCCCCUAGUCAGGUCUGAUGCGAUUCUUUCCUCGAUUAAGCACUCGGCACUUGGUUUUGAAGAAAUGGAUCCGGUUAGAUUCCAGGCGAAAGUAUCUUCAAGCAACCAUUACAUCUACAUGCAGCAACCAUGCUUGCGUCCGUGCAGCUUGGGUGCGCGGCGACAGGAUGUACUAACACCGGAUUUGGGGCGUGAUUACCCUGAAUAAGUCGGGCCUCCAGUGACUUGCUGCCUCGAGUCAAGGCAGAGAAAAACAAGGUACGACGAGACGUUGAGUGGUCAACAAAGCGCGACGUAGCUGCAACUUGAUCUCCGGGCCUAUCCUUAUUGUCAAGUAUGCCAUGCCUACCGAUGUUGAUACACGCCGAUGUCGAUAACGGAUAAGCCUAUGCUGCGUUCGAUCGAGUUAUCCGGUGGAGAGGAUGAAAAAACUUCUUGCAGGUAGAGCUUCCCACUUCCAAGUUCGCAGCAGAGCAGUUUAUUUGAACGCAUCUAAGUGGAAGAAGAGGUAACGAGCGCCACGUAUCAACGCUUCGAAUCCCCGUUCCAUGAAGUAAGAAAUUCAGGACCAACCGACUUUUUAGAAUUGUUAUAUCGGAUAAAAAUUGUGGAGCCCGCUCCUUAGAUCCACUGUCGGGGUCGCCACAGACCCGCUAGUCUUCGGACUGGUAUGAGGCAGUGCUUGAGUCAUUGGUGGGCUAGAGCAGCACACUGGCAUAGGCUCUGUGGGCUUGUAUAGCGAACGACCGAGUAUUUCACUCGGUUGUGGAAUUGCUACGCCCUUGUACCUCGGCCGGACAAUUAAAUGAUAUGUAGAAGGCCGUGUGUGAUUAUAAAAUGAAUGAUAUACGGAAGGCUGUGCGUGAUAUAAAUGUGGCGGUGUGCACUGUGCAUGUCAUACAUGUGAAUUGUGCUGAGUUGAAUUAUCACCUUACACCGCUAGUGAUGUGUUCAUAGACCAAUAACUAUUGAUAAUGAUUAUUUAUUACAGGUUGACGACCUUAAUUUCGAAAGAGCAAAUGGAACGAAGCAAUUAAAUCGAGAA
Long non-coding RNA from Hyalella azteca, 1249 nucleotides. RefSeq lists it as uncharacterized. The record is from RefSeq and is a predicted model, not a curated record. The transcript is spliced from 11 exons. NCBI's taxonomy places the organism in Eukaryota, Metazoa, Arthropoda, Malacostraca, Amphipoda, Hyalellidae.